This 108-nucleotide small RNA is filed under the name Pseudomonas sp. WPR_5_2. Lineage: Bacteria; Pseudomonadati; Pseudomonadota; Gammaproteobacteria; Pseudomonadales; Pseudomonadaceae. The record is from RNAcentral.
ACUGACGCACAGGGAGUGCUCAGGAUCAUGGAUGAUCGGCCAUUUGCAUGGAGUGCUGACGACAGGGAGUCGUAAUGGUCUUGGAAAAACCCGCUUCGGCGGGUUUUU